This is a non-coding RNA of Triticum aestivum (bread wheat), 135 nucleotides long. The record is from Rfam. Lineage: Eukaryota; Viridiplantae; Streptophyta; Magnoliopsida; Poales; Poaceae.
AAACUACUUCCUCCGUCUGGAAAUACUUGUCAUCAAAAUAAAUAAAAAAGGAUGUAUCUAGAUGUAUUUUAGUUCUAGAUACAUCUCUUUUUAUCCAUUUUGAUGACAAGUAUUUUCGGACGGAAGGAGUAUAUC